Molecule: ribosomal RNA, 444 nt
Filed under: uncultured bacterium
Lineage: Bacteria
Description: bacterial SSU rRNA
Rfam family: Bacterial small subunit ribosomal RNA
Source: RNAcentral
ACUCCUACGGGAGGCAGCAGUGGGGAAUAUUGCACAAUGGGGGAAACCCUGAUGCAGCCAUGCCGCGUGUGUGAAGAAGGCCUUCGGGUUGUAAAGCACUUUCAGUAGGGAGGAAGGUAGUGUAGUUAACACCUGCACUAUUUGACGUUACCUACAGAAGAAGCACCGGCUAACUCCGUGCCAGCAGCCGCGGUAAUACGGAGGGUGCGAGCGUUAAUCGGAAUUACUGGGCGUAAAGCGCAUGCAGGCGGCCUGUUAAGUCAGAUGUGAAAGCCCGGGGCUUAACCUCGGAAUUGCAUUUGAAAACUGGCAGGCUAGAGUCUUGUAGAGGGGGGUAGAAUUUCAGGUGUAGCGGUGAAAUGCGUAGAGAUCUGAAGGAAUACCAGUGGCGAAGGCGGCCCCCUGGACAAAGACUGAACGCUCAGAUGCGAAAAGCGUGGGGAG